RNAcentral lists this transfer RNA (86 nucleotides) under Thermodesulfovibrio yellowstonii DSM 11347. Its description in RNAcentral is "tRNA-Tyr". It matches the Rfam family "tRNA". From Rfam's summary of the family: Transfer RNA (tRNA) molecules are approximately 80 nucleotides in length. Their secondary structure includes four short double-helical elements and three loops (D, anti-codon, and T loops). Further hydrogen bonds mediate the characteristic L-shaped molecular structure. tRNAs have two regions of fundamental functional importance: the anti-codon, which is responsible for specific mRNA codon recognition, and the 3' end, to which the tRNAs corresponding amino acid is attached (by aminoacyl-tRNA synthetases). tRNAs cope with the degeneracy of the genetic code in two manners: having more than one tRNA (with a specific anti-codon) for a particular amino acid; and 'wobble' base-pairing, i.e. permitting non-standard base-pairing at the 3rd anti-codon position. Lineage: Bacteria; Pseudomonadati; Nitrospirota; Thermodesulfovibrionia; Thermodesulfovibrionales; Thermodesulfovibrionaceae. The record is from RNAcentral.
GGAGGGGUACCCGAGUGGCCAAAGGGGACAGGCUGUAAACCUGUUGGCGUCAGCCUUCGAAGGUUCGAAUCCUUCCCCCUCCAUAU